GAUGAACGCUGGCGGCGUGCCUAAUACAUGCAAGUCGAGCGAACGGACGAGAAGCUUGCUUCUCUGAUGUUAGCGGCGGACGGGUGAGUAACACGUGGAUAACCUACCUAUAAGACUGGGAUAACUUCGGGAAACCGGAUCUAAUACCGGAUAAUAUUUUGAACCGCAUGGUUCAACAGUGAAAGACGGUCUUGCUGUCACUUAUAGAUGGAUCCGCGCUGCAUUAGCUAGUUGGUAAGGUAACGGCUUACCAAGGCAACGAUGCAUAGCCGACCUGAGAGGGUGAUCGGCCACACUGGAACUGAGACACGGUCCAGACUCCUACGGGAGGCAGCAGUAGGGAAUCUUCCGCAAUGGGCGAAAGCCUGACGGAGCAACGCCGCGUGAGUGAUGAAGGUCUUCGGAUCGUAAAACUCUGUUAUUAGGGAAGAACAUAUGUGUAAGUAACUGUGCACAUCUUGACGGUACCUAAACAGAAAGCCACGGCUAACUACGUG
This 497-nucleotide ribosomal RNA is filed under the name uncultured bacterium. RNAcentral describes it as "partial 16S ribosomal RNA". It matches the Rfam family "Bacterial small subunit ribosomal RNA", at positions 28 to 507 of the family's 1533-position model. The record is from RNAcentral.